CUCUCUUGAAUGGCUGCGGUGUCAAUAUUCCCAGUCAGCUAUGUCUUCUGUGCUGUGCAUGUUUGAUUUAAAUUUUACUUAUAUUGUUAUCGCUUUUAGUUUCUUCAUUGCACUUUCAUCUUUGUUGGCCAAUUCUUUCUUUUGAGUAUCUAUUUUCAUGAAAUGUGACAUCGGUUUAUUUCCAGCCGACCAGGAGGCAACACAACUACACACUGUGUGAACUGAACCUCAGAUACCACUGGCCUGUCACCAACAGAUUUUGAAGCAAAUGAUGUGAUUGUUCACCGAUUAUCAGUGCAUCUGUUAUUUACAUAGUGAUUUGUGAACUGACAAGUUAGCAGCAGUUUCUGCUUUAUGCAAUUGUUCUGUUAAUAGACUGUGAUUGUGAAUAUUUGUCACACAGAUAUUUAAAUGGAAUCAGGGCUGUAUAUAACCAUGACAUAAUACUUUGUCAAAAAGUGAAAAGUUAAUCUGGUUGGUCAUCAGUUUCAGAAGGGAGGAUUUUAAAUGGCUUAAAAAUAAUGUAGUCACAUGACUUAAAUUCAAAAGAAGGUAUUUUUACCUGGCAUAUGGAGAAGAUGAUGACAAUAAUGUGGAACUUGAUUAGACAUCAACAGAGACUCAAUGCCUCCUGGAAAACACCUGAGAAAUGAUUGAAGCUCGCUCUGGUCUUGCCUGGAAUCAUGCAUAACAUUUGUUGCUGCCUGCAUGUGGAUUCAUUUUAGCAGUUUAUCAAUUUGGACAGGGAAUUUUGAAUAAAAAAUUUUGGCAGUCAUUAUAGUGACUCUUCUGAGACUGAAAAUUCAGGUAACAAGGAAAAUCAGUGACUCUUUCUCUCUGCUUUCUUCAAAACACAAAUAAUCCAAUGAUGUAUAGGCUGCAUUGCCCUUUGAUUUGUUACCUUAGAGAUCAUUACAUGUUAGUACAUAAAGAAACUUCCCAAUCUUCUUUUAUAGCAUCCAGGUACUCCAAUGUGUA
Molecule: long non-coding RNA, 978 nt
Filed under: Homo sapiens (human)
Lineage: Eukaryota; Metazoa; Chordata; Mammalia; Primates; Hominidae
Description: HSALNT0347319
Source: RNAcentral